RNAcentral lists this ribosomal RNA (381 nucleotides) under uncultured Prevotella sp. RNAcentral's name for it is "bacterial SSU rRNA". It matches the Rfam family "Bacterial small subunit ribosomal RNA", at positions 355 to 733 of the family's 1533-position model. Lineage: Bacteria; Pseudomonadati; Bacteroidota; Bacteroidia; Bacteroidales; Prevotellaceae. The record is from RNAcentral.
UGAGGAAUAUUGGUCAAUGGGCGGAAGCCUGAACCAGCCAAGUAGCGUGCAGGACGACGGCCCUAUGGGUUGUAAACUGCUUUUGCGCGGGGAUAAAGUGCGGCACGCGUGUCGCAUUGCAGGUACCGCGCGAAUAAGGACCGGCUAAUUCCGUGCCAGCAGCCGCGGUAAUACGGAAGGUCCGGGCGUUAUCCGGAUUCAUUGGGUUUAAAGGGAGCGCAGGCCGCCCCUUAAGCGUGUUGUGAAAUGCCGCGGCUCAACCGUGGCACUGCAGCGCGAACUGGGGGGCUUGAGUGCGCGCAGCGCAGGCGGAACUCGUGGUGUAGCGGUGAAAUGCUUAGAUAUCACGAAGAACUCCGAUCGCGAAUGCAGCCUGCGGGG